AUUGAACGCUGGCGGCAUGCUUUACACAUGCAAGUCGAACGGUAACAGCACUUCUGUGGCUGACGAGUGGCGAACGGGUGAGUAAUACAUCGGAACGUGCCUAGUAGUGGGGGAUAACUACUCGUAAGAGUAGCUAAUACCGCAUGAGAUCUAAGGAUGAAAGCAGUGGACCUUCGGGCCUUGCGCUACUAGUGCGGCUGAUGGCGGAUUAGGUAGUUGGUGGGAUAAAAGCUUACCAAGCCGACGAUCUGUAGCUGGUCUGAGAGGACGAGCAGCCACACUGGGACUGAGACACGGCCCAGACUCCUACGGGAGGCAGCAGUGGGGAAUUUUGGACAAUGGGCGCAAGCCUGAUCCAGCAAUGCCGCGUGCAGGAUGAAGGCCUUCGGGUUGUAAAGUGCUUUUGUACGGAACGAAAAGCCCUCUUCUAAUACAGGAGGGUCAUGACGGUACCGUAAGAAUAAGCACCGGCUAACUACGUG
This 482-nucleotide ribosomal RNA is filed under the name uncultured bacterium. RNAcentral's name for it is "partial 16S ribosomal RNA". It matches the Rfam family "Bacterial small subunit ribosomal RNA", at positions 30 to 507 of the family's 1533-position model. The record is from RNAcentral.